RNAcentral lists this ribosomal RNA (434 nucleotides) under uncultured bacterium. Its description in RNAcentral is "partial 16S ribosomal RNA". It matches the Rfam family "Bacterial small subunit ribosomal RNA", at positions 28 to 506 of the family's 1533-position model. The record is from RNAcentral.
GAUGAACGCUGGCGGUAUGCUUAACACAUGCAAGUCGAACGGACUCUUCGGAGUUAGUGGCGGACGGGUGAGUAACGCGUGAGAAUCUGGCUUUGGGUUCGGGACAACCACUGGAAACGGUGGCUAAUACCGGAUGUGCCGAGAGGUAAAAGAGAAAUUGUCUGAAGAUGAGCUCGCGUCUGAUUAGCUAGUUGGUGAGGUAAAGGCUCACCAAGGCAGCGAUCAGUAGCUGGUCUGAGAGGAUGACCAGCCACACUGGGACUGAGACACGGCCCAGACUCCUACGGGAGGCAGCAGUGGGGAAUUUUCCGCAAUGGGCGAAAGCCUGACGGAGCAAUACCGCGUGAGGGAAGAAGGCUCUUGGGUUGUAAACCUCUUUUCUUAGGGAAGAACAAAAUGACGGUACCUAAGGAAUCAGCAUCGGCUAACUCCGU